RNAcentral lists this ribosomal RNA (163 nucleotides) under Lupinus purosericeus. RNAcentral's name for it is "5.8S ribosomal RNA". The stretch from base 1 to 133 matches the Rfam family "5.8S ribosomal RNA", at positions 24 to 154 of the family's 154-position model. From Rfam's summary of the family: 5.8S ribosomal RNA (5.8S rRNA) is a component of the large subunit of the eukaryotic ribosome. It is transcribed by RNA polymerase I as part of the 45S precursor that also contains 18S and 28S rRNA. Lineage: Eukaryota; Viridiplantae; Streptophyta; Magnoliopsida; Fabales; Fabaceae. The record is from RNAcentral.
GCUCUUGCAUCGAUGAAGAACGUAGCGAAAUGCGAUACUUGGUGUGAAUUGCAGAAUCCCGUGAACCAUCGAGUCUUUGAACCCAAGUUGCGCCCGAAGCCAUUAGGCCGAGGGCACGCCUGCCUGGGUGUUGCACAUCGUUGCCCCCGUGCCUUGGCCACGU